GGGGUUGUGGCUCAGCAGUAGAGCGCUCACCUGGCACGUGCAAGGCCCUGGGUUCAAUCCCCAGCAGCACAU
Molecule: transfer RNA, 72 nt
Filed under: Ictidomys tridecemlineatus (thirteen-lined ground squirrel)
Lineage: Eukaryota; Metazoa; Chordata; Mammalia; Rodentia; Sciuridae
Description: Spermophilus tridecemlineatus (thirteen-lined ground squirrel) tRNA
Rfam family: tRNA
About the family: Transfer RNA (tRNA) molecules are approximately 80 nucleotides in length. Their secondary structure includes four short double-helical elements and three loops (D, anti-codon, and T loops).
Source: Rfam by way of RNAcentral